AUACGAAGGGUGCAAGCGUUAAUCGGAAUUACUGGGCGUAAAGCGCGCGUAGGUGGUUUUGUAAGUUGGAGGUGAAAUCCCCGGGCUCAACCUGGGAACUGCCUCCAAAACUGCAUGACUAGAGUACGGUAGAGGGUGGUGGAAUUUCCUGUGUAGCGGUGAAAUGCGUAGAUAUAGGAAGGAACACCAGUGGCGAAGGCGACCACCUGGACUGAUACUGACACUGAGGUGCGAAAGCGUGGGGAGCAAACAGGAUUAGAUACCCUAGUAGUCC
RNAcentral lists this ribosomal RNA (274 nucleotides) under uncultured bacterium. RNAcentral's name for it is "partial 16S ribosomal RNA". It matches the Rfam family "Bacterial small subunit ribosomal RNA", at positions 523 to 796 of the family's 1533-position model. The record is from RNAcentral.